CAAAAGACUAAUUUUAACUUUAUUUAAAAAAAAAACUGGGUUUAUUUCAGGUGAUUAUAAACUAAUCUUCUCCGUCCUGUACCCUUAAAUUCAACAAAGUUUUCAAAAAGCUUGAAGAAGUCUUAAUCAAACUCUGAGGAGUCCUUGAUGGUGACUAACGAUGACAUUACUCUGAGUUUAUUUCAGUCUGAUUACAUGACUCGAUCAAGUUAUUCAGGGCACGGAGGAAUACAGUGUGUUUUUUCCUGCAGUAUCAAUCUCUGUUGUCUUUGUUCAUCCACAGAAGCAGCUGAGCACCAGCUGACUCCGUGGAUCGGGGGUUUGUUCUUAAACCUAAUUAUGAGGCUGUAAAUCCUGCAGGACAAGGUGUCAGGUGCUAUCAAUUCAGCCAAGGGUUUCCAUGAGUCCGAGUCACCCAUCCAGACAAAGGUACGGCCUGUUUGUUCAAUAAUUGAUCGGCUCAUAUAGACGUUCAGGGCAUGUAGGCACCUCACACGGUUCCUGUAUUGUCAUUGUCCGCCCUGCCCUCUUAAUCCCACACUGACACUUGAUAAAUGUCCUCACAGCUCUGAGAGUUAUGGUCACCGAACUUCAGGAAUUUGGAGGAUUUUCAUGAGGAGCCGGCGGGAAUAUGAGAAUCCGAAACUGAUCGGCUGUUUCUACUAACUACUUCUGCUGUGAGCUGCCAUACUUCGGCCUCCCUCAGACUGACUCUUUCGUCCUCGCUCUCUCACUGACCCACUUGGCCGCCUGUCUUCCUCUGACCCUCUUCCUCGUCUGCCG
Xyrichtys novacula (pearly razorfish) is the source of this 783-nucleotide non-coding RNA. Lineage: Eukaryota; Metazoa; Chordata; Actinopteri; Labriformes; Labridae. The record is from the annotation of a GenBank genome assembly.